Molecule: ribosomal RNA, 460 nt
Filed under: Malayochela maassi
Lineage: Eukaryota; Metazoa; Chordata; Actinopteri; Cypriniformes; Danionidae
Description: partial 16S ribosomal RNA
Rfam family: Bacterial large subunit ribosomal RNA
Source: RNAcentral
UUCAACGGCCGCGGUAUUCUGACCGUGCAAAGGUAGCGCAAUCACUCGUCCUUUAAAUAAGGUCAAGUAUGAAAGGCUAGACGAGGGCUUAACUGUCUCCCCCUUCAAGUCAGUGAAAUUGAUCUAUCCGUGCAGAAGCGGGUAUAAUUAUACAAGACGAGAAGACCCUUUGGAGCUUAAGGUACAAAGCUUUAAUCAUGUUAAACAAAAAAUAUUUAAACCUAGUGAAAAUUAAAACUUUACCUUCGGUUGGGGCGACCACGGAACAAAAAAUAACUUCCAAGUGGAAUGGGGUAUAACCCUAAAACUAAGAAACACAUUUCAAAGUCACAGAAUAUCUGACCAAACAUGAUCCGGCUUUACGCCGAUCAACGAACCAAGUUACCCUAGGGAUAACAGCGCAAUCCUCUCCCAGAGUCCAUAUCGACGAGAGGGUUUACGACCUCGAUGUUGGAUCAGG